AAAAAUAUUUAUUAUCUAAUUAAGUAGUUUUCUUUAUCAAACAUAUACGUUUAAUUUGCUUAGAACUUGAAAAAAGAAUACGAAAUAUAUUGCUCUUCUCGCAUACAAAGUUAUAUAAUUCAAACAUUACAAAAAAUAAAAAAAAAAUUAAAAAAAAUAAAAAAUAUUCUUCUUGAAUGAUAUAAAAGCACAAACAGAAAUUUUAUAAUAAUAAUAUGUAAUAAUUAUUUCUUCUUUUCACCUCUAGCUUUUAACCGAUGUGUCAACGAUCUUGAUUGUGCUGGUCGUACAGUAGAAGGCUACAUGGUCAAAUUCAAUCAGGACUGCACUGGAGACGGAGUGAUCGAUUGCGAUGAUUAUCUGCGUAUUCAUCGAUUGGGCGGAAACGGUUGUACCGGCGCGCUAGACAGAAAAUACGAAAAUAAAUACAAAUUGUGUAUGCAAACUAACGGGGGCCAAUAAUAUAUGCGUCUCAUGUUAGAACUUAA
Molecule: long non-coding RNA, 488 nt
Organism: Formica exsecta
Lineage: Eukaryota; Metazoa; Arthropoda; Insecta; Hymenoptera; Formicidae
Exons: 2
Source: RefSeq, a predicted model, not a curated record